RNAcentral lists this long non-coding RNA (1041 nucleotides) under Homo sapiens (human). RNAcentral's name for it is "HSALNT0298111". Lineage: Eukaryota; Metazoa; Chordata; Mammalia; Primates; Hominidae. The record is from RNAcentral.
AAAAAAUGAUUUGUUACAUAAAUAGAAUAAAAUAAAAAUUAUCACUUCAACAUAAAUAGAGAAAAUAGAAAGUUCCUUCUCUGUAUAGUUGCCUUCUGUUUAGUACUUUCCUAUGCAAAUCCUAGCCACCUCAGUAGCCCUAUCUCUAGUCUUUAUUUUGCUCAUUAAAUCUGUUGUUCUUUUAGGGUUUCUUUUUCCUGUGCUUUCUCUCUCUGGAGAGCCCUAGCAGAUAGGGAGCUGGUGCGAUUGUGGGGCUUUGUUUUCCUUCCCACAGCGAUCACAGUCCUGUACUGCCUGUUUUCUAGCAUCUGAAAACAAUUGUUUUAUAUAUUUUGUUCAGUUUUUAGUAGUUUACAGUGGAAAGGAUAGUCUUCUGGAAGAAGUCUUGCCCACACUUUUUGUCAUUCUUACCCAAUAGGUAUAAAGUGAUGUAUGACAUUUCAUGUAUAAAUUCGUGUAUACUGUUUAUACAUACUUACAUUUUUUUGGUUACCAGUGUGGUUGAAUAUCUUUUCAUAUACUUAUCGGUCAUUUAUGUUUCAUGUGACCUUUUUUUCCUAUAGAUUUUGGGUUUUUUUCUUAAUGAUUUGUAGGUGUUCUUUUGUACAUUCUGUAUACCAAUUUCUUGUCCACAUUUAAUUUUUUAGUUCUUUCGGAACUAAUUUUUGUGUGUGAAGGAAGGAUCUAAUUUUAAUUUUUUUCAUAUGAGUAGCUGGAAUAAUUUAUUGAACUUUAAAUAUUUCCUACUGACUUUAAAAAAAAAAACACCAACCGUAUUAUAUACUAACCUUUUGUAUGUGUACACUGGCAUGUUUCUAAGUGCCUUAUUUUUUUUUCCUCAGUGGUCUGUGAAUUCCUGCACAACACCAUGUGGUUUUAAUUACUAAAUGUGGGAGAAUGCCAGGUGAGCAAGUUGUCACCGUAGGAAUCAGAAUGGACGUUAUCAUCCGUAGUGAGAAUGGCAAAUGGAUAAUCAACAUCAGCCCAAUUGCCAGACUAAAACAUCAUUAUGACAGACUUCAUUUGCAAGAAUUCUUAAAA